UACGUAGGUAGCAAGCGUUGUUCGGAAUUACUGGGCGUAAAGCGCGUGUAGGCGGUGCUCCAAGUCUGGUGUGAAAUCUCCCGGCUUAACUGGGGGGGUGCCUUAGAAACUGGAAUGCUAGAGGAUGGGAGAGGUAAGCGGAAUUCCUGGUGUAGCGGUGAAAUGCGUAGAUAUCAGGAGGAACACCUGUGGUGUAGACAGCUUACUGGACCAUUUCUGACGCUGAGACGCGAAAGCGUGGGUAGCAAACAGG
This 253-nucleotide ribosomal RNA is filed under the name uncultured bacterium. RNAcentral's name for it is "partial 16S ribosomal RNA". It matches the Rfam family "Bacterial small subunit ribosomal RNA", at positions 524 to 776 of the family's 1533-position model. The record is from RNAcentral.